This 406-nucleotide long non-coding RNA is filed under the name Gossypium raimondii (Peruvian cotton). Its description in RNAcentral is "long non-coding RNA (GRAI_LNC007710)". The record is from RNAcentral. Lineage: Eukaryota; Viridiplantae; Streptophyta; Magnoliopsida; Malvales; Malvaceae.
UGGAGGGGGACAGAUGGGCAGUACCUAUUUUAUUUUUGACAAAAUGACGUUUUUUUUUUAAAUUACUUUUUAAGGGUGGAGGGGGAGAGAUGGAUGACAUCAAUAUAACAAAAUUAUUUUUUAAGGAUGGAGGAGAGAGAUGGGCAGCACUGGUAUUUUUUAGUGCGAAAAUAUGGUCUAAAUUGUGAAGGGUGAGAGAGAGGCGGCAUUGGGUAAGUGGAGGGUGAGGGAGAGGCGACAUUGGUGGCAGUGGAGGGUGAGAGAGAGGCGACAACGGAUUUAAAACCUUUUAAAUACAGUGUUUUCUUAAUAUUUUUGAAGGAUAUUAGUACAAGGGAAACAAAUUUGGUUGUAGAAGAAGAGAAAGCAAAGCAGAAUUCAAGGUUAGUAUAUGUAUUAAUUUUUU